RNAcentral lists this ribosomal RNA (253 nucleotides) under uncultured prokaryote. RNAcentral's name for it is "partial 16S ribosomal RNA". It matches the Rfam family "Bacterial small subunit ribosomal RNA", at positions 525 to 777 of the family's 1533-position model. The record is from RNAcentral.
ACAGAGGUCCCAAGCGUUGUUCGGAUUUAUUGGGCGUAAAGGGUGCGUAGGCGGCGGAGUAAGUUGGGUGUGAAAUCCCGGGGCUCAACCUCGGAAUUGCAUUCAAUACUGCUUCGCUCGAGUACUGGAGAGGAGACUGGAAUUUACGGUGUAGCAGUGAAAUGCGUAGAUAUCGUAAGGAAGGCCGGUGGCGAAAGCGAGUCUCUGGACAGUUACUGACGCUGAUGCACGAAGGCCAGGGGAGCAAACGGGA